UUGUUAGGUUUUAGAUGCUAAAUAAAAACCUUUAGGAAACUUGUUUGACUAAUUCCCUUCAUGCCUAUGCCACUUAGAGUUUAGAGUAUUUUUAGCUGAGUAUCGUUAGGUGGUUUAACUAAGUCAAUCGAGUAUAAGAUAUUUGCAUUGAGAGCAAGAGCUUCUAGAUUCAUUAAUUCUAUUAAUAGACACCUAGCAUUGCUUAGGAGAUUUUAAAAUUUUAUGGGGUCAAGCCUCUUCAGCU
RNAcentral lists this long non-coding RNA (244 nucleotides) under Durio zibethinus. RNAcentral's name for it is "long non-coding RNA (DZIB_LNC001703)". Lineage: Eukaryota; Viridiplantae; Streptophyta; Magnoliopsida; Malvales; Malvaceae. The record is from RNAcentral.